AGAGUUUGAUCAUGGCUCAGGAUGAACGCUAGCUACAGGCUUAACACAUGCAAGUCGAGGGGCAGCAUGACCUAGCAAUAGGUUGAUGGCGACCGGCGCACGGGUGAGUAACACGUAUCCAACCUACCGGUUAUUCCGGGAUAGCCUUUCGAAAGAAAGAUUAAUACCGGAUAGUAUAACGAGAAGGCAUCUUUUUGUUAUUAAAGAAUUUCGAUAACCGAUGGGGAUGCGUUCCAUUAGUUUGUUGGCGGGGUAACGGCCCACCAAGACAUCGAUGGAUAGGGGUUCUGAGAGGAAGGUCCCCCACAUUGGAACUGAGACACGGUCCAAACUCCUACGGGAGGCAGCAGUGAGGAAUAUUGGUCAAUGGACGAGAGUCUGAACCAGCCAAGUAGCGUGAAGGAUGACUGCCCUAUGGGUUGUAAACUUCUUUUAUAUGGGAAUAAAGUGAGCCACGUGUGGCUUUUUGUAUGUACCAUACGAAUAAGGAUCGGCUAACUCCGUGCCAGCAGCCGCGGUAAUACGGAGGAUCCGAGCGUUAUCCGGAUUUAUUGGGUUUAAAGGGAGCGUAGGCGGACUAUUAAGUCAGCUGUGAAAGUUUGCGGCUCAACCGUAAAAUUGCAGUUGAUACUGGUCGUCUUGAGUGCAGUAGAGGUAGGCGGAAUUCGUGGUGUAGCGGUGAAAUGCUUAGAUAUCACGAAGAACUCCGAUUGCGAAGGCAGCUUACUGGACUGUAACUGACGCUGAUGCUCGAAA
This 756-nucleotide ribosomal RNA is filed under the name uncultured bacterium. RNAcentral's name for it is "bacterial SSU rRNA". It matches the Rfam family "Bacterial small subunit ribosomal RNA", at positions 8 to 758 of the family's 1533-position model. The record is from RNAcentral.